Molecule: ribosomal RNA, 250 nt
Filed under: uncultured bacterium
Lineage: Bacteria
Description: partial 16S ribosomal RNA
Rfam family: Bacterial small subunit ribosomal RNA
Source: RNAcentral
UACGGAGGAUCCGAGCGUUAUCCGGAUUUAUUGGGUUUAAAGGGUGCGUAGGCGGCCGUUUAAGUCAGGGGUGAAAUACGGCAGCUCAACUGUCGCAGUGCCUUUGAUACUGAAUGGCUUGAAUGCCGUUGAAGAUGGCGGAAUGAGACAAGUAGCGGUGAAAUGCAUAGAUAUGUCUCAGAACACCGAUUGCGAAGGCAGCUGUCUAAGCGGUGAUUGACGCUGAUGCACGAAAGCGUGGGGAUCGAAC